AUUUAUUCGGUUUUUGUUGAGGGACUUCCUCUGGGUAAGGCACCGUCUUAGGCCCUGAGGAUAUAAAGACAAGAUGGCUGCCUCCUCUGGGUGCUCACAGGGUAGGAGGCAAGCAGGCAGUGGGUGAGUGCAGCGACAGAGAGCACAGUCUGUGGAGCUCAGGAAAGGCUUCUGAGAAGAGAGACAAAGAUAAGGAAACUGAGUCAAGCACAGGGGACAAGUGAGAGGAGCAGAGUAGAGAGUGGGGCAGAGCCUUCUAGGCAGGAUCUGAGGAGGCAAGAUACGAUGUGGUGAGAGUGAAGAACUCUUAGCAGCAACCAGAUCCUGGCCACGUGUCUGUCAUGCCAGGAUCUGGACUUACAUUGCUCUUCCCAGGCACCAGCUGUGCACCUGAACUCAGGGCCACUGACCUGUGCAGACUUUCCUCGUGUAGACUUGGUGCCCUUCAGAACCUGCUCUGGGAUCCGCCAUUGUAGUAUUCUGCCCGUUUAUUGGGGACAUAGUGGCCUGUCAUCUGCUGUAGUCUCCUGAUCCUGCCCUGCUGUUCCUCCCUGCAUUUAUGGGCAGGCUUUCUGACUCCUGGAGUGUUCUGUGCUCUUCUUGCUAUUGUUAGGUCAUCUGGGGGUUGAGUCAGAGGGGCCCUGACCCCGAUGGUACCCCAGAGGACAUCUUCCUUGGCUCGCUGUGGUGGGAAGAGCACAGCGGGUUGACAGAAGGUUUCCAUUGGCUGCCUCAUCUCUGCUCUUGGACAGGGUUGUCAUCCUUUGAGCAUGACGAGGUCAAGAGGAAUGAGAGACGAGGAGGACGUGGGCAGUUUGGCAGUGACGGAGAUCAUCUCUGCCUUUAGGAACGAGACAGGGUUAUUGUCUGGAGCUAAGGAAGGAAACUGAAAGGCCAGGAUUAGACUACCAGUGCUGCCUAUCACUGUGUGAGCUCCCCACCAAACAAACAGGCAAAAUGAUCCUCCGGGCACGGCCCACUGGGAAUAGCGCAGAGAUGCAGAGGACAGAAAUCCCGAGGACAAUUCUGUAGCAAGAGACUUGCACUUUUUUCUUCACAGAAAGGCCCAGGCAAGAGAUCCUGGAGAGAAAGCUCUGGAAUAAUCCCUCUGAAGGCAGCACAACAGGGAGAAGGGCCUAGGACCUCCUGAGAAGCCAGAGGGAAAAAGAACUACCAGAAAAAAAAAUACAAAAUUAACAGCCAGGAACAUUACAAAGGAGGUGUCUGAAUUAAGCAAAGAUACUAAAAAAG
Molecule: long non-coding RNA, 1251 nt
Filed under: Equus caballus (horse)
Lineage: Eukaryota; Metazoa; Chordata; Mammalia; Perissodactyla; Equidae
Description: lncRNA (ENSECAG00000049476.1)
Source: RNAcentral